UUUUCUGUUUGACCUCCAUGGUUCCCCCGGUUAGUUGUUUUCCAUUAAAAAUUUUUUGGCCGGGCGGGUAACCGGCAACCGGCUGUUGGCCUCUCUCCGCCCCUCUCUCCUUCCUACUUUUGUGGAUCCUCUUCCCGUGGUAUCGUAUCCAUUACCUUCUGCUUGAUUCGGUCAGAGCAGCUGGUCAAAGCGGUGCCCCCAUCUCUCUUCCUCCCUAUUGCCGCCUCCCACACUAUUCUCUAGCCCGGCCUCCUCUUUCCUCUCUCUUGCUGCCAUGCCAUCUACCGACGCGGCUGACGGCGUGAAGGACGGCUGACGGCGUGGAGGAGGAGUUCGGGUCAGCCCACUCCUUCCCGACGCAGAUGGCGGCGUGUGGGCGCUAGUGGGGGGACUUAAACUACAGGAUUCGAGGCUAGACGGAGGCGAUGCCGACCCGUUGAGGGACGUCAUGUCUACCAGGAUGUUGUUGUGCGGGCCUUCUCCGCCUCAUGCAGGGAAACCAACAGGACAACUAUGCAACCAUACCUGGUAAAAGAGAUUUGCCGCCUAGAGGGUUUCAACAGAAAAUCAUAAUGUGUGUCCCCGGAUCUAGGAGUACAUGCCUAUAGGGAUCAAUCUACCUGGCAAAAAGUGUUGAGUUGGACUUCAUUAUUAUUACCGAGAGGGCAACACAAUGGAAGGCUGUGUACCACCCAAUCGAGUAUACAAGUUCAGAGAACAACUAAAGGAAGGUUCUAUCUACAGGUUUGAGUCUUUUAUUGUUGCUGCAGCAUGGAACAAAUACAAGACAGCCAAUCAUCCGUAUAGGAUCAAGAUUACUCAACGCACAAAAGUCAUCGAAGCAAUUCCGGAUUCUGAAAUGUUUCCUUUGUUCCCGUAUAAUGCGAAUCAUUUGCUGUUCUGUAGUCACCCUAAUCGUUUGCUAUUCUGUAGUCACGUGCAGGGGACAACACCUUUCUAUCAGAUGUUGCUGUACUGGUGACCAUGGACUAUUCUUAAUGAAUAUCACUCGGUCGAAUACGAAUCAAGAGCCAAGGAGGCAUAUCGUCUUAAAAGAUGCUAGUCAGGCGAAUCGUUCGCUAUUCUGUAGUCAUGCGCAGGGGACAACCUUUCUAUCAGAUGUUGCUGUACUGGUGACCAUGGACCAUUGUUAAUGAAUACCACUCGGUCGAAUACGAAUCAAGAGCCAAUGAGGCAUAUUCUCUUAAAAUAUGCUAGGUGGUGGAAAUGUGUUGUUGGUGUUCGAAGUCCAUUGUUGCCCAGUGCACACCAUGCCUCCAGGGAUCUUGCAUCUAAUAAUUUAUAGAACAAGGUGUCACAAAUGUAUUGGUGAUGUUCUGCGUCCAUUGCUGCACAGCCACAGAGCAUGUCUUCACUGAUUUUUCAUGAUAACUUAAAGCGGAAAUCAAGGAUAAAUGUUUUGUUGCAUGAUGCUUUAUAUAUAUAGUUCUAAUGACACACCUGUUUAUUGUACAUACUGCACCACUGUUCUUUUUAAGUUAAACUGUGGCAGGACCAUAUUCGCUGAAAGAACUAUAUUUUCCAUUUACCUUUCCCAAAAAUAUUUUUCUUCUAUUAUACUGCAAAACCUCCUACUAAUCUUCCUUCAAUAUCAGUGUUCCCUAUGCAAUGAAUGGGAUCAAUACGGGAAAAUUAGAUGAUAUUAUUCGUAAUGUCAUACCACAUUACCGCUUCUUGGGUAUUAAAUUUACAAGUUUGUAAAUUUUGUUUGUUGUUUGGAAGGAAGUGGACACUGAGUGGGUUCGAUCGAAGAGAAGUUUGUGCUGGGUUUCCUGAGCUGAUUGGGAUGCGUCUCCUUCGGUCGGUAAAAGGAGUAAUUUACAAGUUUAAACUAAAAAGGUGAAUGCAUGUUUGACCUAUAAAUAUUUCGCUCCUGCUCCUCACUACUAAACAGAAGAUGUUGACAUAUCCAGUCUCUUUGUGCGUUAGCAGUAGUAAGAGAGGGUAUGUAGUGCUGCUUCAUACAUAUUAUAGUCCUAAAAAAAUGGUUAUUGUACAUAUUGCACUGCUCUUCGUUUUAACUUAAAAUGUGUCCCCAACCAUAUUCACUAAAACAACUGCAUGAAUGCACUUUUCCAUUUACCUUUCUCAAAAUGCAUUUGUUUGAUUAUAUUUUAAGGAAACUUGCUAUUGAGCUUGCUUCAAUAUCAGUGUUCCGGACCAGGUCAGAUAUGAGAUGAAUCAGAUCAAUCGGGGAAAAUAUUUGAUGAUCUUAGUCUUAACAUGAUACUACUUUUCUACCACUUCUUGGGUACUAUAUUUAUAAGCUUCUAAGUUUUGUUCCAUUGAUUGGAAGGAAGUGGCUGUGGUGAGUCCAAUGGAAAAUAUUUGAUGAUCUUAGUCUUAACAUGAUCUAAGUUUUGUUCAUGCUGGGUUCCAUGUUGUUCGUUGUCCUCCUGUUGCUGACCUUUUUCCUUAGUUGAUUGGUAUGCAACCUACCGAUUUUACCUCAUUACAAGAACUCUACUAUAUGUAGAUCAUUCGACCGCAGAAAUAGUAGGCUUCGGUUAGAUGAAGGAACUAUGUAGUCAGUACUCUUUUCUUUGUACAGUCAGUGUGCUAAAAACUACCACUGCAUAGUGUUCUACUGUAUAUAUGUGUUGUAUAUAAUUGCAGUCAAUGAAUUUAUAAGAGACUGUCUCUUUUGCUUCAUCUUCUUUGUAUU
This is a long non-coding RNA of Lolium perenne, 2686 nucleotides long. RefSeq lists it as uncharacterized. The record is from RefSeq and is a predicted model, not a curated record. Lineage: Eukaryota; Viridiplantae; Streptophyta; Magnoliopsida; Poales; Poaceae.